UACAUAGGGGGCAAGCGUUAUCCGGAUUUACUGGGUGUAAAGGGAGCGCAGACGGCAGUGCAAGUCUGGAGUGAAAGCCCGGGGCCCAACCCCGGAACUGCUCUGGAAACUGUGCGGCUAGAGUACUGGAGGGGCAGGCGGAAUUCCUAGUGUAGCGGUGAAAUGCGUAGAUAUUAGGAGGAACACCAGUGGCGAAGGCGGCCUGCUGGACAGUAACUGACGUUGAGGCUCGAAAGCGUGGGGAGCAAACAGG
Molecule: ribosomal RNA, 253 nt
Filed under: uncultured bacterium
Lineage: Bacteria
Description: partial 16S ribosomal RNA
Rfam family: Bacterial small subunit ribosomal RNA
Source: RNAcentral